GACGAAGACGAUGUCCAACUCCCGGGGCUUUUCCCGGCAAUUUCUUGAGAAGCACGCACGAGGAAGAGGAAGAAAGCAAAGGGGGAGAGGAUGAUGAAGAAUAUGGAGGCGAGGCGUCGAAUUCGCUACUCGAGGCUGCGUGAGGAUGAACCAGACGGCGAGGAUGAGAGGGAUCUGCGGUUCGAGUACACGCCGAGCUCCCUGGAUCGAGUGCCCUGGAAGUCGGUGGCGCUCGCGCUCUUCUUGGUCUCCCUGGGAUCCCUCCUCCUCCUGCUCUCCUACUUCAUAUUUUCCGGCCACAUGCCCGGCGACCCCUCCCAGGCCUACGGCCUCCUCACCCUUGGUUUCCUCUCAUUUCUCCCAGGUUUCUAUGAGACUAGAAUUGCGUACUAUUCAUGGAGAGGUGCCAAUGGCUAUAGAUUUUCAUCCAUCCCAGGCUACUAGUAUUUCACAAGAAAGUUGGUGAGGCAUCUGUUGUAUACUACUGAUGUUAUUUGUUUUGUAAGUGCUUGAGCUCCAUCAGAAGGCGUAAAGAGCAUCAACUGGUGGAAGCGGCUGGCCUGGAGACCUCUCCAAACAGCAUGUUGCUCUAAAAAUAAAAGCAGAAGAAAUUUUUGUAGAUAUCUGUACAGUCAUCUGGAUAGGUGAUCUGUCAUCAACUUUAGGCUAACUGCAGUAAUGCACUAUUAAAUUUGUUGAAAACUUAUGUUCUUACUUAAAGUUUCUGCUAAGAAGUGGAGACAGAAAAAAAAGGCCCAUGGAAAACCCUGGACAGCCGUUGGUGGCAGUACAGAUUAUUGAAAAAAGGGAAUGAGAGAGAUGACAUUACGGCAAGUGGGGGAGGGUGGCAUUGGGGCCAGAGAAGAGAGUUACUUUUACUUUAAUCAGAAUGAUGCUUGCGCUAUUGGGGAAAGUUAUUUGAUCGUAUCAGAGAUCAGUGGGCAUAUUCACAGGGGUUCUGGCUGUUAUGCAGCAGAUAAUGAUAGGCUUGUUUGCAUUGGCAGCUUCUGACUGCGUCUGAAAAUUUCCCUCCCCUCAGUACAGCCAAAGUUCAAUUUCUGCAUUUUUCACAGCUAUUAUUUUGGACGAUUUACAGUUCAUCCCUGAAGUUAGGUAUACGAUAUGCUUUGGUGCUCUUAUAUUUUCUGAUGUUUUUGGUAUCUGGAUGGAGCUGCAGCAUGCUUCGAAAGUUUACUAUAUUUUUAUUGGUUCUGGGACGGCUUUCAUCAGGCAAGUACCAAUUGCAUGUGCAUAAUAUGUAAGCCAUAUUACCAGUCCUAAUGGAAUUGUACUUCAUUUUCGUACUGGAUGAUCUGGUCCUGUAUAGUGCUCUAGGAUAAAGUAAAAGUGGUGUCAGCCUUUUUGUCCGUAAAGAGGUGCUUGUUCCUGAAACUGUUUCAAUUCAAUUAUUUUAUCAAAAAGCAGAUACUAAUUUUUUGGGUGGAAUGUGUAGCUGCAACUGGGCCAUGGCAUUGUGGCCAAAAUCUCUUCAUUGCUUUCUGGUUUUAUAAGCUUUUUCUGGCAUCUUUGUUCUUUGAUAUGACCUAUGUAGUAUAGGGCAAAACUGUACGAGUGAUUUGAGGUGGUGUCUGGUUGCUUCAAUUUACAUGUAAUUGUUUUAGAUUUUUAGAUGAAUGCAGUGGUACACUGGUUCUAAUGAGCCAUAGCUUGAGAUAUAGAAGUCGCAUUGCUGUUCCAAACAAGUCCAUGGGUUUUAUUGAAGCUUAAAGAUUAAGAUUAAAAUCAUAUGCUGGGUUGAGGAUUGACAGCUUUAUUGCCUGGUUUUGAUGCCGACUAUGGAAGUUGUUUUGGUACCUUUUCUGUUUCUCUAAUUUUUUGUCGCUACUCAAUUUUGCUUUGAAAACACCAGCACAUUUUGAAGUUAAAUCUAUUUGCACAUGUUUUGCUAUUAGCAGCAGUACUGUUAAAAUCGGCAAAAAUCCCCCGGAUCCAAUGUCGGCGGCCUUUCUCAUGCAGUUCGCCGUUAGUGCCCAGAACAUUUUCUCGUAGGGGAUUUAUAUCGUGCCAUUAGGUUCUCAUUUUCACGUUUUCAUGGUUUCACAAAUCAUUUUUACUUCUGUUAUUCUGUAACAAGGUGUCAUCCAUUCAGGCCAGAGUAACCCAUAGUAUAAGUGGUAAGGUACAACCAGUUGUCUCUUGGACGGGGUCCUGGGUUUUUAAUUUUGUGAGAGGACUCCUCUUGAGAAGCUGGGUGAUAAGUGUUGCCUAUGCACCCAGCAGGUUCUGCGUUAGGUCAAGAAUAUCUUGAAAAAAAAAAAGAUCUUAUAAGAUGGAUGAACUUAGAUGAUUUAAGUUAUUUGUGUUGAAACGUGCAUGGUAUUACUGUUUGCCUAAGUUGCGCAGAUUUUAGAUCACACUGUAAUUUGUAAGCAGACCCUCCAUGGAUGGCCGCCUGGUUAAACCGUAAUGCAUUUAUGAUUACGUUGCACAUGUUCGUGCAACCCAAAUUCUCUGAUCGAUUGUUUUAGAACAUUUUUGGUCUGCAAAAGGGAAGUUUGUGAUUAUCUUGGUACUCGAUAGAUAUGUGAUUUGCUUAUUGAAUAUCAUAUUUCAUUUGAUCAUCAACGAAUCACCAUGCUUGGUUUGUUGUUUCAUAUUUUUUAAUCAUCUGUUGUUAUUUCACAAGGACAUAAAUAAAAACAUAAUUUUAAUUAAUCUGAUUAGCUAACGAAUGUGAUUUGAUCUUGCCGAUUCACUAAAUCGAUGGGGCUCCCUUUUCAAUUCGCUAAUCAACUUUGAUUACGUUGAUUACCAAUUUAGCACAGUUUGUAGGAUAAACUCGUAAACUAUGAUAUUUGUGGUUCUUUUAUUAAAGAACGGGCUUUGAAUCAUAUGAUCACAAAAAAAAAAAAAAAAAGGAACGUGAGCUCCGCUAGGGUUUCUCUGCGCGAGGGAAUGGUGCUCGAUGACGCCGAACCAGUUGGACGAUCCUCCACCGGCGGGUCAAAGGGUUUCUCGAGCUGGUAAGCGGGCGAAGGGGGUAGAUCCCUUGGCGCACAGAGCAGUUACGCAAAGGGGUGGAACAGCAGAGGAGGAUCCCUUCGUUCGUGGGCAGAAAUGCUCUCCCACAAUUGUGAAGAUGAGGAGGAAUAUCUUGAAGCUUUGGAAGUCGAUACAGUGGAGGGGCUCCCAACCGUCUUUGUCCAGGAGGACAUUCAAAGGAUGAUGUAGCCGUUCACUUGGACAGCCAUUGCGUGUUUUGUCGGUGGUUGAGGGAGGUUAAAAAACCCCGUUUCAGUUUUGUUGGGAAAGGCUUUUUCCUGGUCCGUGUAGAGUCGUAGACUCGAAGAGGAGUUGGAGGUCGUUCUGCGAAGUAGAGCGUGGAAUCUUGGAGGAAGGACGCUGGUGGCCAGUCGGUUGGAUUCCAGGGAUGGAAAUGAACGUAGAAGAGACUAUUAAGGUGCCUAUCUGGAUCCGGCUUCCCAAUCUACCUUAGAUUCUCUGGUGUCGAAGAGUGUUCGCUGGAAUCGCCCGACCGAUGGGAGCGGAAUUGGUGGCGGACCCUUUUGCUAAAACCCUACUUACUCUAGGGUUCGCCAGACUCUGCAUUGAUGUACCACUCAAUUUCCGACCAUGGUCGGUGGUGGAUUUAUCCCUGGGAGGAGGUAAAGUUCUGAAUCAAGUCAAGAGGUGAUCUACGAAGGCCAGAUCAAGUUCUGCACGAAAUGUAGAUAAAUUACCCAUUUAACGGAAGAUUGCAAAGCAGGGAUGAGCUCGUCUGCUCCCAAUCCUUCCCCUACGUCCUUGGUUGAAGAUAUGGGAUACGCCCUGCCCGACGCGCGGACAUGCUGGGCGCUAGGGAGAGGACGAGCGGACUAAAAAACCACCCAAAUGCAAACAGAUUUGGGGUUUUGGUGGAAAAUGGCAACGGUGGUGGUGCUUUACAGAUAAGGGCAGGAGAGGCCCCUGUGCCGUCGCGUUUACAGGGUCCUCCAAGCCAAACUCUUGCACAUCCUCCAUCUCCUCUUGGUGGCACCUUCCCUGUCGUGACCACCCCCACCCCAGCUUCGACCCCCUGCACGUCAAGGCCAGCGUGGGGCGAUUGUCGCCGCAGGUACUGUUCCUGACCCCUUUCCCUUUGGUUUCUGACUCUGCAGGAGUGCUCGACCCCGGCUGGCCCAGAGAGAGGUCCCCUGCCCCCAUCCAGGCCAUUUCUGGCCUGAUCUCAAAUCAUUCAACACUGCCUCCGGGCUUUAGCCGUCGACCCUGUUCCGAGAGUAGGGACGCCCCUCGAAGCUCUCGCUCUCCACGAGCCUCUAAGGGUCUGCAUGGGAACUGGCACGGUGGGAUGGAGAAGUCGGCUGGUUCUGCAGGUAGGAACAAGGGAAAGAGAGACAUUGGCCCCUAUGAUGGUAUCAGUAAGAGAGCUUCCCGUGAGGCUCUCAGGGAUGUUAACAAUACGCUUACCCCUACCAUGGAUGAGGAUUUGGAGCUCGUUCCUCCAACUUUGGAAGAAGUCUUGGGUAUCGAAUUUAACGACUCUGAACUCGUUGAGGCUAAUGAGUGUACAAAGGACAAGGACAGUGGAGAGUCAGGCCAAGGGUGUGGCCCCAUCCCUGAAAGUUCUCAAUGAAUUGUGUCGCUAGGAAUAUUUGUGGGCUAGUGCGCAGGUCUGCGCAACUAGACCUGAAAUUGCUGGUUCAACUUCAGGAUCCGUGUCUCUUUUACAUUCUCGUUCUGCUUACUGUGCCAAACUUUGAAGGGUGGAAAUGCCAGUACCCCAGUUUGGCGUUUUUAGCAAACAAUAAAUUCAAUGGUGGCAUUGCCAGGGUCAUCUUAGGUUGGCGCCCGGAUCAUCUAACAGUUUUACAGGCUUGGCGAGAGGACUCUUGGAUUGCUGUUCUGUGCAGAAGGCGUUCAGACGCAUGCAACUUCAUUUGUGUUGGAGUUUAUCUAAGUCCUCUUCAUCCCAUCAUAUUGAGUCAGUUCGAGGGGCUUCGCCAGUUUCUUCACUCCUGUGAGAUUCCCUAUUUCAUUGUGGGAGACCUAAAUGCCCUGCGAGGUCCUGAGGAUAAGUCUGGGCGGCACCCAAAUGCCCUGGCUUGCAGAGAAUUCAGUCGGUUCCUGUGGGGCUUGGAUCUCAGCGUAGUUAAUGACAACGCAACUUCUUAUAUCUGGUCUAACAAUAGGGAUGUAGCGCAACGAGUUUAUUGCAGGCUGGACUGGGCCUUAGUUAGCAGUUGGAUGGCGUCAGCAGACUCAGCUUCGACCGGCUCAUCAUGUGCAUCCGAGAACGACAUCGGACCAACAAUGUGAUCAUUCUGUCCUUCUCCCCGGCGAGUAAUCAGCAGGCGGGACGAGGGUUUUUUCGCUUUUACAAAUGUUGGGCUUCACACCCUUCUUGCGUUCAGAUAGUGGAGGAAGCCUGGGAUGUCCCUGCUAGAGGAUGCGCGAUGAUUAUUGCUGCCAAGAAACGUGAACUUACCCGAAAGCGUUUGGCUAACUGGAAUAAGUCGUCUUAUGGUAACAUUUCCUCCAGGGUGCGAGCGGAAGGGAGGAAUUGGGUAGGAUCCAAAACAGGGGCAAUUGGUUCAGUACGGAGGAGCUUCACUUAGAGAAGACACUGCUCUUGGAACUAGACGCCGCCCUUUCCGAAGAAGCAUUAUUCUGGAAGCAAAAGGCCCGCUGCAGUUGGCUGAUGGACGGGAAUCGUAGUACUCGCUCCUUUCAGUCCUGGGUGAAACACAGAGCAAGUGAAAAUUGGACUGCUGAAAUGGAUAUCAGUGGAGUGGUAGGUAAAGACUCUUAUGAGAUUAUGGAGUUCUGCGCUAAUCGUUUCCAGAGCUUUUACGAGGAUGCGACUGUUGUUCCUACUCUCCAUUCCGGAUGGUUGGAUGGACUGGGUGUUCUCGAAAGUGAGAAAUCGUUCAUCUCCUUCCCCGUCAUGGAAGCUGAGAUAAGAAAUCGUGCAUUUCCUUAUCAAAUCAGUGUUGGCGCAGCUCCUAAAUUAUUGGAUGCUUACUUUUAGACUGCCCAACACCACCAUUUCAGAAGUUACUACUUACUCGGAUCUUUUAUCGGUUUCUAUGGGGAGGGCAGGAUGAUGUGAGGAGAUUACACUUGUUAAUCGGGCACUCUCAAUCGGGAAAACUUGAUUUUCUUGACACUCAGGGCGCGGCUGACGGUCUCUGUGGGCAGGUCUUAUUAGAUGCAAUUAUAUGAAUAGGUCGAGCCUGUGGAUGGAAAAAAUCCAUCCUAGAUAGUCCUGGUCAUGGAAGGGCUUAUCUUGGUCGGAAGUGGGUCACAAUGUAUUGUGGAGAGUCUGUCCAUUUCUGGAAUGAACCUUGGGGAUGGGGGAUCUUACUUUGUUUGCUUAAUGGAAACGACUAUAGCCGAGCAAAUUUGACCAUAUCGCAACCAUUAAGGAGGCGGUCUGUCAGCCAUAUGGGCAACUUUACUGGGACUGGAAGCUUCGUGGUUGAAGCAUGUCACAAACCAGGUCAUCCUCUCUUCCAGUGAAGAUACCCUGGUUUGGGAUGGAGCCAACACCCAGUCCUUUUCUAGAAGUGAGUGACCUUUGUGAGAAAAUUCGCCUUAGGAAACCUGCUAUUGAUUUGAGAAAACUGAAAAGCAAGCUGGGAUAUUAAGGCUCCCCGGCGGGCAAAGUGGUUCCUCUUCCUUGCAUGCGAGGUGCCGCCUUACGACGACGGAGAGAAUGAAAAGACUGGGAAUACAGUUUGCCAGCAGGUGUUGUCUCUGGGAAUGGUCCAGAUUCUGUCGACUAUAUUUUGGCUACUUGUAAGAGUGGCAAAAGUGGUUUGGAGGUACGUUAGUCAGAAAUUCUGUAGAUGUUUUCAUUUCAAGAGGGGCCUAAUUCAAGGGAUACUUAGAUGGCACUGUAUUGCAUUUAAACGAGGAUGGAUGCUCGAUCUGUGGCCCAUGAUCCCCACUUUGUUGUUGGAUGAUUUGGCAAACACAAAAUUACAAACUCUUCCCUGACCAGUCGCUAACUCCGAGUGCUAUCUGUGGAGCUGUUCUACAUGAUGUUCAUGCUAUAGCCCAGGCUCUUCUACUAGGCAAGGGAUCGGAACAUGAGUUUCAAACCUGGACAUCGGAUAUUGUUCCAUCCCCUCCCGUUUUCCUAUGGGAAAUCAAGUUUAUAUUCAAAUCGUGUGAGUAAACGAUCUAGAUAUUUUGCAGAUCUGCCCUCCAACAGCAAGCUUGCUUCAUUGGACGUUAUACGAAAAUCAGCUAGUGGAGGGACCAUAUUGUUAUUCCGAACUUCCACCCCGAUUACUCUACUGUGAAACCCCUAUGCAAAACGCUAUUGAUUUGAUGAUGUUUUUCCAGUUUUUCUAUGGAACAUCUAUCUCCUGAGUCUUCUGUAAGGGGAUUUUGUUUUGCUGUCAUGUACAGUCUUUAGCUUGUCCGUAAGGAUCAUGUACAACUUUCGGUUUGUUUAUUGAAAUAAAAGUGGGAGAUUUGAUCC
Nymphaea colorata (pocket water lily) is the source of this 7450-nucleotide RNA transcript. RefSeq lists it as uncharacterized. The transcript has 4 exons. Lineage: Eukaryota; Viridiplantae; Streptophyta; Magnoliopsida; Nymphaeales; Nymphaeaceae. The record is from RefSeq and is a predicted model, not a curated record.